AUACGGAGGAUGCGAGCGUUAUCCGGAUUUAUUGGGUUUAAAGGGAGCGUAGGUGGGAUAUUAAGUCAGCUGUGAAAGUUUGGGGCUCAACCUUAAAAUUGCAGUCGAUACUGGUUUCCUUGAGUACGGUACAGGUGGGCGGAAUUCGUGGUGUAGCGGUGAAAUGCAUAGAUAUGACGAAGAACACCGAUUGCGUAGGCAGCUGACCAGACCGCAAAUGACGCUCAUGCGCGAAAGUGCGGGGAUCGAACAGGAUUAGAUACCCUGGUAGUCCGCACAGUAAACGAUGAAUACUUGUUUUCGGCGAUAUAAUGUCGGAGGCAAAGCGAAAGCGAUAAGUAUUCCACCUGGGGAGUACGCCGGCAACGGUGAAACUUAAAGGAAUUGACGGGG
Molecule: ribosomal RNA, 393 nt
Filed under: uncultured bacterium
Lineage: Bacteria
Description: partial 16S ribosomal RNA
Rfam family: Bacterial small subunit ribosomal RNA
Source: RNAcentral